GAUGAACGCUGGCGGCGUGCCUAACACAUGCAAGUCGAACGAUGAAACCGCCCUCGGGCGGACAUGAAGUGGCGAACGGGUGAGUAACACGUGACCAACCUGCCCCCCUCUCCGGGACAACCUUGGGAAACCGAGGCUAAUACCGGAUACUCCCUCCCCUGCUCCUGCAGGGGUCGGGAAAGCCCAGGCGGAGGGGGAUGGGGUCGCGGCCCAUUAGGUAGUAGGCGGGGUAACGGCCCACCUAGCCCGCGAUGGGUAGCCGGGUUGAGAGACCGACCGGCCACAUUGGGACUGAGAUACGGCCCAGACUCCUACGGGAGGCAGCAGUGGGGAAUUUUGCGCAAUGGGGGCAACCCUGACGCAGCAACGCCGCGUGCGGGACGACGGCCUUCGGGUUGUAAACCGCUUUCAGCAGGGAAGAAAUUCGACGGUACCUGCAGAAGAAGCUCCGGCUAACUACGUGCCAGCAGCCGCGGUAAUACGUAGGGAGCGAGCGUUAUCCGGAUUCAUUGGGCGUAAAGAGCGCGUAGGCGGCCUCUCAAGCGGGAUCUCUAAUCCGAGGGCUCAACCCCCGGCCGGAUCCCGAACUGGGAGGCUCGAGUUCGGUAGAGGCAGGCGGAAUUCCCGGUGUAGCGGUGGAAUGCGCAGAUAUCGGGAAGAACACCGAUGGCGAAGGCAGCCUGCUGGGCCGCAACUGACGCUGAGGCGCGAAAGCUAGGGGAGCGAACAGGAUUAGAUACCCUGGUAGUCCUAGCCGUAAACGA
This 764-nucleotide ribosomal RNA is filed under the name uncultured bacterium. RNAcentral describes it as "bacterial SSU rRNA". It matches the Rfam family "Bacterial small subunit ribosomal RNA", at positions 28 to 809 of the family's 1533-position model. The record is from RNAcentral.